UACGGAGGAGGCCAGCGUUAUCCGGAAUUAUUGGGCGUAAAGCGUCCGCAGGUGACACCUCAAGUCUGCUGUCAAAGCCCGGGGCUUAACCCCAGAAAGGCAGUGGAAACUGAAGUGCUAGAGUGCAGUAGGGGUAGAGGGAAUUCCCGGUGUAGCGGUGAAAUGCGUAGAGAUCGGGAAGAACAUCGGUGGCGAAAGCGCUCUGCUGGACUGCAACUGACACUCAGGGACGAAAGCUAGGGGAGCGAAUGGG
Molecule: ribosomal RNA, 253 nt
Filed under: uncultured bacterium
Lineage: Bacteria
Description: partial 16S ribosomal RNA
Rfam family: Bacterial small subunit ribosomal RNA
Source: RNAcentral